This 82-nucleotide transfer RNA is filed under the name Lepisosteus oculatus (spotted gar). It matches the Rfam family "tRNA". From Rfam's summary of the family: Transfer RNA (tRNA) molecules are approximately 80 nucleotides in length. Their secondary structure includes four short double-helical elements and three loops (D, anti-codon, and T loops). Further hydrogen bonds mediate the characteristic L-shaped molecular structure. tRNAs have two regions of fundamental functional importance: the anti-codon, which is responsible for specific mRNA codon recognition, and the 3' end, to which the tRNAs corresponding amino acid is attached (by aminoacyl-tRNA synthetases). tRNAs cope with the degeneracy of the genetic code in two manners: having more than one tRNA (with a specific anti-codon) for a particular amino acid; and 'wobble' base-pairing, i.e. permitting non-standard base-pairing at the 3rd anti-codon position. The record is from Rfam by way of RNAcentral. Lineage: Eukaryota; Metazoa; Chordata; Actinopteri; Semionotiformes; Lepisosteidae.
GGUCAUGUGGCCGAGCGGUCUAAGGCACUGGAUUUAGACUCUAGUCUCCUUGGGUGUGUGGGUUCAAAUCCCACCACUGCCA